Molecule: long non-coding RNA, 926 nt
Filed under: Sus scrofa (pig)
Lineage: Eukaryota; Metazoa; Chordata; Mammalia; Artiodactyla; Suidae
Description: lncRNA (ENSSSCG00070011838.1)
Source: RNAcentral
UAACACUUUAGAAAUGUAAAAAUUGCUAUACAAAUGCAAGGUCUUAUUACUCUACUAGGUUGCAGGAUUCAAACAGCCAGGAGAGUGCAUCUCAAUUGGAAUAAUUUCUGUGAUAACAGCCUUGGGCCAUCUUUGGAAAGAAGGUACCCCGCGAGCUCUGUCCAUUUCCUUGAAUAAGAACUCUUACAAAAUGCAUGAAAGGCAGGCACCAUUAAGCCAUUUGAACUGCAUUUCUCAUUUUUCAGAUACAUCAAUCCAGGAGCCAAAGCCCGGUUUUAGAGAUUUAAAGCUGUUAAAUAGCAUGUAGACCAUCCCUCUCGUUUUAUGGAUGCAGAAACUGAGACCUAUAGCAACUUCAGUGAAGGUCAAAGCUGUAAGAUUUGUCUUCUUACCUUAUAAAAGCAACCCUGCCUCCAUGACAGGGGUAUUAAUAUCUUUAUGCUGCACCUUAAAUUGUUUCAGAGUCUGCUCCCUCAGAAAACUCAACCUGUGACGGAUUCUGCUACAUGGGGUAAGUAGAAAAAAAUCUGAAUUUAAAGUCUGAAAAUUAAGAAUUCUAAUGCUGCCUGUUCCACUUACUUAUGUGACCUUAGACUAGGCAUCUCACAUCUCUGAAUGGUAGGUCUUUGUGUGUUCAUGUGUGUGUGUGUAUGUAAAAUACAGAUAAAAAUUCUUUCCUCACAGUAGCAUGUAAGAAAUUAAGUGUCAUAUAAGAAUGGUGGUAAAAGUCCUACAAAUAUAGCAGGAUAAUUUGUAAACCCCAAAGCAUAACAAUGAUGAUUAUUAAUGAACUCUCAUGGUGUAUUUGUUCUUUGAGCAAGACUUCUGUGGAUUACUCUUCCUAUAUUAAUACAUAAACAGUUUACUCUCUUGAAUACUCUAGAAAAAACUUUCAAAGUACUUCUUAACUAGUCAUGAGCUUGGCA